Arabidopsis suecica is the source of this 154-nucleotide non-coding RNA. The record is from the annotation of a GenBank genome assembly. NCBI's taxonomy places the organism in Eukaryota, Viridiplantae, Streptophyta, Magnoliopsida, Brassicales, Brassicaceae.
GCCACUGGAAACCGAUAUCUCGGCUCUCGUAUCGAUGAACGUAGCAAAAUGUGAUACAUAGUGUGUUUGUAGAAUCCUGUGAACCAUUGAUCGAGCCUUUGGACAUAAAUUGCGUCCCAAGCCUUAUGGCAGAGGGCAUAUUUGCUUGGUGUCA